This 223-nucleotide unclassified non-coding RNA is filed under the name Hevea brasiliensis (rubber tree). Lineage: Eukaryota; Viridiplantae; Streptophyta; Magnoliopsida; Malpighiales; Euphorbiaceae. The record is from RNAcentral.
AAUCUUCCUCGACGAGAGUGAGUACUACGUGUCGAAUUUCGAGAAGAAUCACCCAGAAAUCGAAGCCUAUGAUAUACAGUACACCACCAGAGUAAGCGAAAUGGCCGACCUUCUCUCCUCUACGAAAGCACAAGUUAAAGGCGAGUGUCGGCCUGUACAGAAUUUACUGUUCUCGGAUUGCAACCUUGGCAUAAACGACAUGCCGAAUCACAUCUAUGAAGUU